AGCAGUGGGGAAUAUUGCACAAUGGGCGAAAGCCUGAUGCAGCGACGCCGCGUGAGGGAUGAAGGCCUUCGGGUUGUAAACCUCUUUCAGCAGGGAAGAAGCGAAAGUGACGGUACCUGCAGAAGAAGCACCGGCUAACUACGUGCCAGCAGCCGCGGUAAUACGUAGGGUGCAAGCGUUGUCCGGAAUUAUUGGGCGUAAAGAGCUCGUAGGCGGCUUGUCACGUCGGAUGUGAAAGCCCGGGGCUUAACCCCGGGUCUGCAUUCGAUACGGGCAGGCUAGAGUGCGGUAGGGGAGAUCGGAAUUCCUGGUGUAGCGGUGAAAUGCGCAGAUAUCAGGAGGAACACCGGUGGCGAAGGCGGCUCUCUGGGCCGUUACUGACGCUGAGGAGCGAAAGCGUGGGGAGCGAACAGGAUUAGAUACCCUGGUAG
RNAcentral lists this ribosomal RNA (431 nucleotides) under Stenotrophomonas sp. SAM-B. RNAcentral describes it as "bacterial SSU rRNA". It matches the Rfam family "Bacterial small subunit ribosomal RNA", at positions 350 to 793 of the family's 1533-position model. Lineage: Bacteria; Pseudomonadati; Pseudomonadota; Gammaproteobacteria; Lysobacterales; Lysobacteraceae. The record is from RNAcentral.